Small nucleolar RNA from Brienomyrus brachyistius, 66 nucleotides. RefSeq annotates it as small nucleolar RNA SNORD82. NCBI's taxonomy places the organism in Eukaryota, Metazoa, Chordata, Actinopteri, Osteoglossiformes, Mormyridae. The record is from RefSeq and is a predicted model, not a curated record. The transcript has a single exon.
GGCACCGUGAUGAUCAAAAAGGGACUUAAUCCUGAAAAUUUGAUGAUUUACAUGCAUCUGAUGUGC